Molecule: ribosomal RNA, 218 nt
Filed under: Wickerhamiella versatilis
Lineage: Eukaryota; Fungi; Ascomycota; Dipodascomycetes; Dipodascales; Trichomonascaceae
Description: 25S ribosomal RNA
Rfam family: Eukaryotic large subunit ribosomal RNA
Source: RNAcentral
AAGUACUGUAAAGGAAAGAUGAAAAGCACUUUGAAAAGAGAGUGAAAUAGCACGUGAAAUCGUUGAAGUGGAAGGGCUUAAGGCUACNCNCCUUCUUCGGAAGGGGCUAACAUCAGUUUUGCCGGAUGGAUAAAUGGUAAAGAAAGUGGCAUUUUCGGAUGUGUUAUAGCUUUAUCAAAUACGUCCNGGCNGGAUUGAGGACCGCGNCUUUAUGCAAG